AUUGUAAAUAAGUCCCAACUCCAG
RNAcentral lists this non-coding RNA (24 nucleotides) under Arabidopsis thaliana (thale cress). Lineage: Eukaryota; Viridiplantae; Streptophyta; Magnoliopsida; Brassicales; Brassicaceae. The record is from RNAcentral.